UACAGAGGGUGCGAGCGUUAAUCGGAAUUACUGGGCGUAAAGCGUGCGUAGACGGUUAUUUAAGUCGGAUGUGAAAGCCCCGGGCUCAACCUGGGAAUUGCAUUCGAGACUGAAUAGCUAGGGUGCGGUAGAGGGAAGCGGAAUUUCCGGUGUAGCGGUGAAAUGCGUAGAUAUCGGAAGGAACAUCAGUGGCGAAAGCGGCUUCCUGGACCAGCACCGACGUUCAGGCACGAAAGCGUGGGGAGCGAACGGG
This 253-nucleotide ribosomal RNA is filed under the name uncultured bacterium. RNAcentral describes it as "partial 16S ribosomal RNA". It matches the Rfam family "Bacterial small subunit ribosomal RNA", at positions 524 to 776 of the family's 1533-position model. The record is from RNAcentral.